GGCUAUGGGAAUCCGAUUAAGCCAUGCGAGUCGAGAGAUUUCGGAUCUCGGCAGACGUCUCAGUAACACGUGGAUAAUCUACCCUUGAGUGGGGGAUAAGCUUGGAAACCUGAGUAUAAUACCCCAUAGGCCUAGGAUGCUGGAAUGCUUCUAGGCUGAAAGCUCCGGCGCUCGAGGAUGAAUCUGCGGCCUAUCAGGCAGUAGUGGGUGUAACGGACCCACUAACCUUCGACGGGUACGGGCCUUGAGAGAGGUUGCCCGGAGUUGGACUCUGAGACACGAGUCCAGGCCCUACGGGGUGCAGCAGGCGCGAAAACUUCACAAUGUGGGAAACCACGAUGAGGGGGUUCCAAGUGCCAACGCUUUGUGUUGGCUGUUCACUUGCCUAAAAAGCUGGUGAAGUAAGAGCCGGGAAGACGGGUGCCAGCCGCCGCGGUAAUACCCGCGGCUCGAGUGGUGGCCACUAUUAUUGAGCCUAAAGCGUUCGUAGCCGGUUUCGUAAAUUUCUGGGUAAAUCGGGCAGCUUAACUGUCCGAAUUCCGGAAAGACUGCGAAACUUGGGACCGGAGGAGGUUGGAGGUACUCCUGGGGUAGGGGUGAAAUCCUGUAAUCCUGGGGGGACCACCAGUGGCGAAGGCGUCCAACCAAAACGGCUCCGACGGUAAGGGACGAAGCCCUGGGGCGCAAACGGGAUUAGAUACCCCGGUAGUCCAGGGUGUAAACGCUGCAGGCUUGGUGUUGGGGGUCCUACGAGGGCGCCCAGUGCCGGAGAGAAGUUGUUAAGCCUGCCGCUUGGGGAGUACGUCCGCAAGGAUGAAACUUAAAGGAAUUGGCGGGGGAGCACAGCAACGGGUGGAGCGUGCGGUUC
RNAcentral lists this ribosomal RNA (868 nucleotides) under uncultured archaeon. RNAcentral's name for it is "bacterial SSU rRNA". It matches the Rfam family "Archaeal small subunit ribosomal RNA", at positions 28 to 903 of the family's 1478-position model. The record is from RNAcentral.